UCAACAUUUAUUAUAAGCAGCACAAGACUUUAACAGCCAAUGACAUUUACAGCAGGGGAGACUAGACUGAUUUUCUACUGUUUAGUGUUAAUCAUCUAACUCACUCAGCCAGAUAAGAGCUACAUUUAUCCUUAGAUGUUAUAUGAAUAUGGUCCCUGGAGCACAGGUUUUAUCUGAUGGGAUUUUUUUAAAUGCACAUUUAAGAGAACCUGCAAUAAUCCCCUGCUGUUACGUUAUUGAUCACAUUUGUGCUACAUUUACUUACCAGGUAAUGUUAAGAUUAAGGAUAUGCCGGUAUCCUAAGUGGCUGUUUAAAUCAAUUAAAUACGUUUCAGAAACAGAAAGUGCAGCUGCUUUGUUUCCAGGGUUUUCAGGGUAGCUGCUGCAUUUCUGCUGUUCAGCGCCACCUGGUGUCAGAGAGUGAAAGUCCGCUUGGCUUUCAUUCAGAGCAUCUCUCAUGUGCUCCACCAUGUGCUUCUUAUCUGUGCUAUCUGUGCAUCAGAGUCCACGUCUUUUGCCCAGUUGAUGGGAAAAGUAUUCUUAAAUUGCAUUCACAAUUCUGUAUAAUUUGUAAUAAUUCAGCGCGGCGGGGAUAAACAUAAGCAUUGACUAGAGUGGCCGCGAUUAGCAAUUAUUCCCCUGUUCUUUCAUUUAUAUUUACUUGUAUUCAUUUAGCAGGUGCUUUUAUUCAAAUGACACACAAAAGAUGAAUAUCAAAAGAACACAAUGACAGUUUAUCAUUCAUAUGAUUAGCUGUCUGUGAAUUCCCUGAAAAAUACAUCUGAUGUUGUCCUUGCCACGUGUAGCCAUGUGUAACCUUUCUUGUGGUUUUUUUUUUUGUUUUCCCUGUUGUAAAAUGAGAAAGGAAUUAUAACAGAAACCAUUUACAUAAAAGUCCAGAUUCUUGUUUAAAUUGCAGUGCGAGGUGGAAGGUAGAAAAUACUUGUGUUAAACUAAAUUCAGUACUCAGCAAGGAGUUUGUAGGGUGCUCUCUCCACACAUCAAAUACAGCAGCAGUUAUACUCUAACAGAAAUCAGUAAGAUAUGUCUUUACUUCAGGUUUCAGUAUUCUGAUCUUCUAAAGCAUAUAAACAUGAUGCACCAUGAAGUGUAACUGUUGAACAGUUUAUGUUUUUAUAGUUAUUUGUGAUUUAACCUUUACAGUACUUCACUCACCCUCUUUUCUGUUUGAUUAUAGAUCUGGGAGUUUUACCUGCAAACCCAUGUGAGAUUGCUGUAUGAUUCAUCUGCUCCAUGAAACAAGAAGCACAAAAUGACGACCUCUGCAGAUGAUUUAUUUAGUUCCCAGAUAUGUGUAUAUUCUAUAAUCUAUCAAAACUGCUUCCUCUCCUCUUCGUGAACAUUGUGCUUUGUGUGGCAGCAUGUAAUAAUGCAGAAUAUGAAAUUAAUGGAGAGUGUUGCCCAAUGUGUGAUCCAGGAAAGCGAGUUCUUAAACACUGUGAUGAGUUCAUGACCACAACAUGUGAUUCAUGUCCCAUGAUGACUUACACUGAUGCUCCGAAUGGAUUUAUAGAAUGUCUGCCCUGUUCUGUCUGUGAUACAAGUAAUGGGCUGAGAGUAAAGCAGGCAUGUACAUUAACAUCAGAUACAGUGUGUGUACCUCUGCCUGGUUAUUACUGUAUAGACUUGCUCUAUAACUGUAAAAGAGCCAUGAAACAUUCAUCCUGCUCACCUGGACAAUACAUCAACCAAACCGG
Molecule: long non-coding RNA, 1718 nt
Organism: Cyprinus carpio (common carp)
Lineage: Eukaryota; Metazoa; Chordata; Actinopteri; Cypriniformes; Cyprinidae
Exons: 4
Source: RefSeq, a predicted model, not a curated record